This 486-nucleotide ribosomal RNA is filed under the name uncultured bacterium. RNAcentral's name for it is "partial 16S ribosomal RNA". It matches the Rfam family "Bacterial small subunit ribosomal RNA", at positions 899 to 1397 of the family's 1533-position model. The record is from RNAcentral.
ACUCAAAUGAAUAGACGGGGGUCCGCACAAGCAGCGGAGCGUGCGGUUCAAUUCGAUGGUACGCGAAGAACCUUACCCAGACUUGACAUGCAGGUGGUACUGACCCGAAAGGGAAGGGACCCGCAAGGGAGCCUGCAAAGGUGUUGCACGGCUGUCGUCAGCUCGUGUCGUGAGAUGUUGGGUUAAGUCCCGCAACGAGCGCAACCCUCACCGUCUGUUGUAUCCCUCAGACGGGACUGCCGAGAGAAACUCGGAGGAAGGUGGGGAUGAGGUCAAGUCCGCGUGGCCCUUAUGUCUGGGGCUACACGCACGCUACAAUCGCCGGUCACAGCGGGUCGCAACUGCGCGAGCAGGAGCUAAUCCCUUAAAACCGGCGUCAGUUCAGAUCGGAGGCUGAAACCCGCCUCCGUGAAGUCGGAGUUGCUAGUAACCGCGGGUCAGCACACCGCGGUGAAUAUGUUCCCGGACCUUGCACACACCGCCCGU